GUCUGGGGCGGGUGAUGUUACAACAUCAGUUGGCAUCACAAGUGGACAUAGAUGGCAAGGGCUCAGGAACAGAAAGUUCUUUUCCUUCUUAAUGCCUGUUCUUUUUAGUGCUCUAUUUUUCCUAAUAUCUUCUUUUUGGAUAGAGCAACAGAGCUAUCUGCUGGCUUACAAAGGCCAAGUUACUUGGGUCAAAGACAAGAGAGAUGAUCAGAUACCAAAUAUGUGUGUGUGCAUAAGAGAGAGAGAGACAGAGACAGACAGAAUUAGAGAUUUGGGGACCAGGCAAAGAAGGUGACUCGGCGAUGAAGAUAGGGAGGUAUGUUUGAGUGAUAAAGGGAUUGUAUGACUCCGUGGCCAUGUUGGAGCUGGAGAGACUUCAUCACACCUUAAUCGUAUGACUUUUGUAAGCUGCUUAAGCUCUACACGCCUUGGUGUCUUCAUGUAUUUCAGGUAACAGAUACACUAAUUGUUUUUACAUCGUCACGUGCUGCUGCCGAUCAUCAUCCUAAUUACUCUAAUCACGUCAGGCUGCAAGAUGAACUUUUCAAAGCUUUUCCUUCCAGUGUUCUCUCUCUCUUUCUGACCAUGUCGGUUUAGUACAUGGCUCGGCCUCACCCUGUUUGAUGUUAGGAGCAUCCCAAAUAGCAGGAUAUUUUGGCAAAUCCAUGCCUUUAUUACUAACAAGUGUACAUUUGGGAAAAGUUGCUACUUGCAACUGUGGAAAAUGUGUCAACUAAUAGAUCCAGAAACGCAGUUUUGAAGGCUCUUGGUUUCUUUCUACCUGUGGUCACUGUUAGCACUCUUUCACUAAGUUCUUAAGCCUUUCAAGAAAUGAUGAAACAUAAAUAUUCACUCCUUGAUGUUGUGGGCAAAAAUAACUACUGCAACCAUCAAAUGUGCAUUGCAUGUAAAAAUUACUAUAUAUUAAAGCUGACCUCAAUAAUACAAUUUCACUGUCAGGUCUCAAUGAAGCUUGGGAGAGCUUUUUGUUUGGGAUUUUUAAUGACAUAUUUUCCUUCCAAAGAUAGGAGCCCUUCAUUUUGCUUAUAGCCUGUAGCUGUGUGAGUAGGUACAGGAGGAUUGUUACUUCAGGAUGAAAGUUGGCUGGUGAUUAAUUCACAAACAAUAUUUUCCUGUUAAUACAGGUAUGUUCCUAUUAAUACAGCUAUGGACGUAUGUGGGCCAAUCGUUCCUUAAAGUGUUUGUUAAGUAUGUCAAGAGUGAGGCUUUGUGGCCUCAUUCAGUGUAUCCCCAGUAUAGCCGUAAUUUCAAGCCCUAAGUCUCUCUUGAAUUAUGCUUGGCCUCACAGUUGGCUUCAACACAGUUGAAUAAUUUCAUAUAUGUGCGCCUCAUAUGUAUGCUCUUUGUAGAUUGAUGAUAUAUCUUGGGUAAAAUUCACAAUUCAUUGCUCAUGGUAUUUUUUUGAGUUCCAGAAACAUGAGCUGGGAAGUUAAUUUUCUAGUUUUUAAGGGAAAACAACACCCACAGAGGCUAGUAAUGAUGACCUCAGAGGAUAUGAAUUGGAUCCAGCUAUGACGUGUCUCAACCUUCCAGUUGAGUUCACAGGCCUUUCAUUAUUCUUGCACCACUCCAUGUUUAGCCCUGAGUUCCCUAGCAACUUGAAACCACAGGCUCUUUAUGGAAAACUGAAGCUCUCCAUCAAGGGUUUUCUCCUGAUGGCAGUCUACCCUACUGUCAACAAUUAUUUUUAAGAGCAAAGAAGUCUCAAUCCAUGUGUAUAUUUAAAAAAUUUCUGAGAGGAUAAAAUAUGCACUCACAGGGACAAAAAAAUUCUGCAUAUGAAGAGCAAUAUAAUUUUUUUGGAACUAAACAUCUGGUUUCCUCCUUAAAGAACAGGAUCUCUGCUUUGUAUAACCACAGUGUCGUAGGCAGUGCUGAAGUUCAAAGACGUAUACUAUGGCUUUCUCUUCUACCCGCAGCAGUUGAUAUAAGAACAAAGAUUUUUAUUAACUAUAGAACUUUAAAAGAGGGCUAUGACCUUGAAAGAAGACCAGUAGGAGAUUUACUUGUCACCUUCUACCACUAAUAUCAAAACACACACACACACACACACAGGUUGAGAGGGGAAGGGCAGAGAAAAUAGGCCAUGACAUUAAGUAUGUUUCUUUGCUUUUGAAAUUUUCAAAAAUAAGUAUAUAUUGCAGUGUUACUAUUUUAAAGUGACAUAGUGCAUGUGAGAGUAUAUCAUGCCAGUAACCUAGUAUAUGCUUAGUAAAUUCUCAAGUCCUCCACUAUCUCUGAUAAAAAUGAAUUGGCUAUACUUCCAAAAGGAAAAAAUAAAGUUAAAAUGAGACACUUUAGAGCAAUAAGCAUCUGUGAUAGGAUUGGAAAAUCACCUCUAGUGUCCUGAGCAGCCAAAAUAUAAAAGCUUCUUAAGUCAAUGGCUAUUCUUAAGAGUUAAAACUUCUGAGAAUAUCUAAUCUAUAUAAUCAGAGAAUAGAACUUUUGGCAGUCUCCCAGAAAAACUAUAAAACUAGACAAAAAUUUCAAGAACUUUCAUUUCAGGGCUCUGAUAAAGACCAAAGAAAACAACCAGUUAAGAAGUAUUUAUUCCUGAGUUACUGCUGAACUUCUGUACAGGCAGUGGGAGUCUGUGGUGGUCUUGCUUCUCUCCCCAACCCCACUGGCUUGGUAGUGCUACCCAGACGGGGCUGACUGUGAAAUACAGCAGUUCACCUGGAGGGGGCUGGCCUGAUUGGGGCGAAAAGUGAGAAACCCACAUCCAAUGACAUUGUCAGUGAAAACAGCAAAUUUGGUCAGAAAUAAAUGGGUGAACUUCAUAUUCUGGAAAACUAUGCUUCAAAAAAUGAAGGCAAGUUAAAAAUAUUCCCAGUGAAAAAAGAAUCUUAGAGAAAUCAGUGCUAACAGGCCUGCCUUCAGGAAACACUAAAGGAAGUUCUUAAGGCUGAAAGGAGGUGACACCAGAUGGCAAUUCGAAUCCACAGGAAAAAAUGAGGAGUACCAGAAAUGAUAAAUAUGUGUAUAAAUAUAGGACUGAAUAAAUGUACUUUUUCUUCUUUUAGUUUCUUUAAUCUUAAUCUAAGAUUGCAUAAGGGAAUCAUUUUAACAUUUUCCUGUUGAGUUCAUAACAUGUAAAUACGUAAUAUUUAUGAGAAAGAGAAUAUGAGAUACAAUGAAAAUAUGAGAAAAUAAAGCUAUAUUGAAGCAAAAUUGCUGUACUGUACCAGAAUUGUCAUAUUAGCCAUAGAAGGAGAUUGUGAUAAUUUACAAAACCUAUUGUGUUUCCUAAAGUGAUCACAAAAGAAUAACACUAAUAAUUUAUAGUUAAAAAGUCAACAGAGGAAUUAAAAUGCUACACUAUUAACUUCUGUUUAAGAAAAAGAAAGGAACAGAAGACCAUAAAAGACAUGAGACAUAAAAUAAAUAAAAAUGGUGGAGUAAAUCCAAUCACAUUAACACCUACAUUAAAUAUAUAUGGGCUUAACACUCAAGAAGAUGACAGAGAUCAACAGACUGGAUAGAGGUCAAGGUACAACUAUGUGCUGUUAAUAAGAGAGAAACUUUGGAAUCAAAACCACAAAUAGAUUGAAAAUAGAAAGAUAAAAAAUGACAUACCAGCUCAGUUUAAAAAUGGGCCAAAGACCUUAACAUCACCAAAGAGGAUACACAGAUGGCAAAUAAGCACAUUAGAAGUUCCACAUCGUAUGUUAUCAGUGAAAUGCAAAUUAAAACAAUAAUAGAUAUCACUACACACUGAUUAGAAUUGUCAAAAUCUGGAACACUGGCAACACCAAAUGCUGGUGAGGGUAUAGAGCAAAAAGAACUCUUAUUGCUGGUGGGAAUUCAAAAUGGUACAGCUGCUUUGGAAAACAGCUUAUUGGUUUCUUACAAAAUGAGGUAUACUCUUACCAUAAGAUCCAGCAAUUGCAUUCCUUGGUAUUUAGGCAAAGGAGUUCAAAACCUCUCCACACAAAAACCCUGCAUAUAGAUGUUUAUAGCAGCUUUAUUCAUACUUGCCAAAACUUGGAAGCAAUCACAAUGUCCUUCAGUAGGCAAAUAGAUAAACUGGUACAUCCAAAUAAUGGAAUAUUAUUCAGCACUAAAAUAGUGAUCAAGUUGUGAGAAGACACGGAAGAACUUAAAUGCAUAGUACUAAGGGAAAGAAGCCAAUUUGAAAAGUCCAACUACAUGACAUUCUGGAAAAGGCAGAACUUGAAGACAGUAAAAAGACCAGUGGUUGCCAAGCAUUAGGGGAUGGGGAGAGAUUAAUAGGCAGAACACAGAGGACUUUCAGGGCAGUGAGAACACUAACUUACACUGUUGGAAGGGGCCCAAAUGGAAAGCCUGGGAAGACAUGCCAGCAGCCUCUAGGAGCAAAGACUGCCCUGGGCUGACAACAGCAAGGAAAUAGGUACCUCUGUCUUACAACCACAAGGAACUGAAUAUGGGCAAUGACCUGAAUGAUUUUGGAAGCAGAUUCUUCUGUAAAGCCGCCUCAAUUUCAGCCUUUUAAAACCCUGAGUAUUGGACUGAGUUGAAUCCACCUGAAUUUCUGACCUACAGAAACUGUGAUAUAAUAAAUUUUUGUUCUUUAA
Molecule: non-coding RNA, 4577 nt
Organism: Manis javanica (Malayan pangolin)
Lineage: Eukaryota; Metazoa; Chordata; Mammalia; Pholidota; Manidae
Source: RefSeq, a predicted model, not a curated record